This 253-nucleotide ribosomal RNA is filed under the name uncultured bacterium. Its description in RNAcentral is "partial 16S ribosomal RNA". It matches the Rfam family "Bacterial small subunit ribosomal RNA", at positions 524 to 776 of the family's 1533-position model. The record is from RNAcentral.
UACGUAGGUGGCAAGCGUUGUCCGGAUUUACUGGGUGUAAAGGGCGUGCAGGCGGGUAUGUAAGUCAGAUGUGAAAUUCCGAUGCUUAACAUUGGAACUGCAUUUGAAACUUCUUAUCUUGAGUGAAGAAGAGGAAAGCGGAAUUCCUAGUGUAGCGGUGAAAUGCGUAGAUAUUAGGAGGAACACCAGUGGCGAAGGCGGCUUUCUGGACUUUAACUGACGCUGAGGCGCGAAAGCGUGGGUAGCAAACAGG